GACGAACGCUGGCGGCGUGCCUAAUACAUGCAAGUAGAACGCUGAAGGAGGAGCUUGCUUCUCUGGAUGAGUUGCGAACGGGUGAGUAACGCGUAGGUAACCUGCCUGGUAGCGGGGGAUAACUAUUGGAAACGAUAGCUAAUACCGCAAAAGAGUUAGUGUUUGCAUGACAUUUGGUUUAAAAAGGUGCAAUAGCAACAACUACCAGGAUCGAUCUUCGUUUGUUUAAGCUAGUUUGGGGGGGGGACCCGCCCACACAAUAGCAACCGCUUCUUUCCCGAACUGAGGAGGGGAGCUUGCCCCCCGGGGGUGUGAAGACACGCCCACAACCGCCCGAGAGGGGGCGGCACGGACUCUUCGGGUUUGUCGAAAAAUAAAACAAAGCCAACCCACGGGAGGAGGGGGGGGGGGGCGGGAGCGAGAGGCA
This 427-nucleotide ribosomal RNA is filed under the name Prevotella melaninogenica. RNAcentral's name for it is "partial 16S ribosomal RNA". The stretch from base 14 to 386 matches the Rfam family "Bacterial small subunit ribosomal RNA", at positions 41 to 398 of the family's 1533-position model. The record is from RNAcentral. Lineage: Bacteria; Pseudomonadati; Bacteroidota; Bacteroidia; Bacteroidales; Prevotellaceae.